Podarcis lilfordi (Lilford's wall lizard) is the source of this 4234-nucleotide non-coding RNA. Lineage: Eukaryota; Metazoa; Chordata; Lepidosauria; Squamata; Lacertidae. The record is from the annotation of a GenBank genome assembly.
CAGGAAUGCAGGGAUCAGUUUUGCUAUUGUACUGGUUUGACUACAUGCAACUAUUAAGUAAGAGUCGCCAUGCUCAUAGUUAAUGUGUGAAGUGCUGAACUUUUACCACUCCUUGAUACUUUUAGUGAUUUAAAAGGAAGAGACGCAUCUUACUGUGGUGUAGUUUUCCAAGUCACAUUGUGGGUAUUUUAGUAAGCAAGGUAUUUGUGACUCUAGUUUCUCCUCUUCUUCUUGGAUUAUGUGAUUUGGUUACCACAGCAUGUGGUGCGUUGGCAGGGGACUGUUGUGCUGCUGAAGCUUGAGAGUGAAGGACUCAGACCCCUGCUGCUAUGAUCCAGAUGCAGAACUCCACCAGCUGCACUGCAAUUGGUUUUGUGCCUUUGCCAAAGCUCCCUUAAUUCAGGUCUGCAGCACUCCCUUGUGCUUGUUAUCAGUUUUGGGAUUUCCUUAAACAGUUGUGCUUGGUUUUACAGCCUUGGAAAAAGCGUGCCUAAUGUUGAACCUCUGCUCAGCUUUCCUGGCUGCGCAUGCACUAUACAUUUAAAACAUAUUCUAAACACAUUAUUUCCCUCAAAUAAUUCUGGGCACUGUAGUUGGUUAAGCAUUACCGGGAUUGUAAUCCUGCUUGCAGUAAAUACAUUGUCCAGAAUUAUUUGUGGGAAUGAAUGUGUUUUAAAUGUGCUUUAAAUGUAUAUAGUGUGUACACAGCCCCUAGUCUUGGCAUGCAGUGUGUAUAAUGCUUCAUUGCCACCCAUUUCACCCCAUUUUAUCCCCCUUGCUAUUUGAGCACCCUUAGCUGUUCAGUCCUUGCAAGUGCUGCAUGUAUUUGUCAGCCCAAGGCUUGUUCUGAAAUUGGACAGAAUGAUAAGUGAGUUGGUCCACAACAGCCUUGUAUUUAAGCACUUGCCUGGGAGCCAUAGGUGAUGAGACAUGAAAGGCCACUGCCAGAACUGGAUUGGCUGCUUCACUCCCAUUAUUUCACUUCCUUCCUGGUGCCCAACUAUGUUUGUGAUGUGGCUGGCAGUGUUAGGGUUGGUAGUGCACCUCCUCAUUCCACAGAUUAGCCCUAGUGAAUAAAGUGAGAUUUCAGUUUGCAAUUAUGUUCAGACUUAUUUUAUUCGGCUGGUUGGCCUAUGUCUCUUCAGCAUCCGUUGAGUCCAUUGAAAAAUGGUUUUAGGGAGAGCUGAGGGUAGCUCCAGAGACACCCUUCAUUUGUUGGACUGCCGCUGUCUUUCAACUCCAGUUAGCAUAGCCAAGUGGUCAUUUAUUAUUAGAGUUGUAGUCCCAACACCAGCUGAAGUGCACCGUGUUGGCUACCUCUGACUCUUAGGAAAUGUGUGGGUGGUUGUCUGCAGUACUGCAUGCUCUUUCCUAAUUUUCCAAGCAUUAGAAACAACUCUUCUGUCAUCACAGGAUUUCUCCGUCUGUAGAUCAGUGAAAGGUAGGCCUUUCUGUAGAAACAGAAGAAUUGUGCUCAAACUACCAUGCAUGAUUAGUGUGACGUCCUCAUAAGCCCCAAUUUAGGACCUGAAAUUUUUUAUCCAGUUCCCACAUAAUGGGUGGUGGUGUGAAGGAGUGGCCAUUCUCUUGUUUUCACUUUUUUUGGUAAAUGGGCUAGGGAGCACUGUAAUUUGGCUUUGUACUGUAGAAGGACACUUUCCCAUAAUGGCAUAAAAAUAAUAAUCCUGAAAUGAUGGAGCAGUGAGGCCAGUGGAAAGGACAUGUAAGGUUAUGUGUGCUUUAGACUUUUAAAAUAUCAGCGCUGGAAGUGGAGUUUUAACACUGGGGUUGCACAGAAUAUGCACAGCUACCUUCAGCACACAUUGUUCUUCAAAGCCAAGAAUUACUUGUAAGGAAGGAAAGAUGUGUCACUCAUCCCAGACCCUGUGGGAUAAGUCCAGCUUAAGAUCCAGUCCAGCAUCCUCGUCUCACAACCAAGUAGGGGUUUCCAUAGGCAUGAAAGCAAUACUCAUCUCCCACUCAUGAUCCCCAGCAGCUUGUAUUCAGAGGCAUACUGCCUCUGAUACAUGAGCUGAUAAAUAUAAUUAUAAUUAUUUAUGAAUUUAUGAAUCACCUUUUGCAUGUGUCUCAAGGUGCUUUAUAGAUAGAACAUAAAAACAACUGAUCAUAGUUUUAAAACAGUACCCCAAACAACAAAAAAUAGGUGUUCAUUUUUUUUAAACCCAAGGCAAAUAAAUCUUUUCAUCCCGCUAGAAGAGCUUGUUGAAACAACAAAAUUCUUCAGUAUUCUCCAGAAAAGAACAGAGCAAGGGGGCAGCCACCAUGAAAGCCCUGCUCCAAGUUACUGUGGAACAGGCUUCUGAUAUUUUUGGAAGUUGGAGGCAAAACUCUGGUUCAGAAUGCAGUUAUCUACUGGAUAUAUAAGGGAUAAGGUGGUAUUUCAAGUAACCUAGCCCUGAACUUUAUAUGUAAGUACCAAAACCUUAAACUUAGCCCAGUGAUGGAUUGGUAGUCAGUGCAAAUCGUGCAAACAAGGUGCUAUAUAGUGAAGGUAGUUUGCUACCAGCAGCAGCCUAGCCACCACAUUCUGCACUAGUUGCAGCCCCUUGACCAACCUCAAGGGUAAUCAUCAUGACUGGUAGCCAUUUCCUUAUGAAUUUGUCUAAAAUUCAUAAUUUAAGGCCAUCCAAGUUUGGUGACCAUCAGUAAUAACUUGUUUGAAGGCAUUGCACAGGGCAACUACAGUACCAGUGACUUAGCUAUUUGAGCAGCGGAACAUGCAACAGUUUCCCUAGGUAUGAAGCACAGUUCAUUCGCUGGUGGGAAAUUCAGUGUGUCCAGAAGGGCAUCCUUUAAAGAAGACUGCUGGACACAGGGCAGUAAAUGGACAACAACUGUGUACUAAACUGUUGUACUAUAAGUAUAUUGUACAGAAGGAGCAACAGCGGGGAGGAAAGUACUGUACUGCUUCCAGUACACCAUGGAACAGAAUUUUCUUGUUUCUUGUAGGAAGGGAAGUUACCCAAAGCUUCUUGACAAGAGCUGUAGACUGUCAUGGAUCUAUUUCUGAACUAGAGAACAGCAAAGGCUGAAUGACAGAAGGGAAGCACUGUUAAAUAUGGUGAAAAUCAGAACAGUUUUCAUCUUGACAUUGGAAGGCUUACAUGGUGUACCAGAGCCUAGAAGUGCUGCAGGUCUUACUCAAAUAGAUGGGACUUGGCAUUGAUUUCAGGAUUGCAUUGUCCAUUUGGUUGGUAUUUGUACCAUCUAUUUUAAAAGGAAGCAGCAUUUCCCUCUUCACUUGUAUCAAAGCCUUUUCAACAGUUAUUCAUCACAGUGCAGCAAAACAGAUUUAUACUUCCUUUUGUCUGUGUAAGCCACUCUCUCAAUGCCUAUAUCAGUAGCAAAAAUAAUUACAUGUUCUCAGUUUUUUUUUGUCCAAGAUUUUCUAAUUAUAAACCAAUGCAUUCAGAAUGACGGCAGAAUCAGCAUGCCAGAUCUAGGCUUCUGAUGCAUCUGUAGAGAUUAUCUAGAUCUGUUCUCUGUUAAGCAGUGACAGUUUGGACAAAUGGACACAACUGCUUGGAGAGUAUGACACCAUCUAGCUUUUAACAAAUGUAUGUACUGAGUAGUUAAUGUAUGGACUUUUUAAAAAAAAUCUCCUUUGCCUCUUCCAGAGGAGUGGAUGUGGGAAGCAGACAUAAAAAAAACAACCUCCGUUCAAAUACCAUAUCAGCUUUUUUUGUAAUAAUCUUAUUUUUGAAACAAACUUUAUUUAUUUACUCAUAGUAUAUGCUUGAUAUACAUAGCCGUGACAUAUUCUUUCAAAAAUAUACAGUACAGUCCACGUGAAAUGUUUCUGAGCAGGCCUCCUGGUGAUCUUUAUUUUCUCUGUUCACCUGUGGUUCUUUCUGCUGUGAAUAUCCCACCAAGGUUGUUCCCAGUCCUUACACCAUCUCCCAUUCUACAAAAAAAGUAUGAAACUUGUUAGUUGUGGUUUGCGUGCUAUGGCUUAUUGAAUCUACUGGGAAUAAAACGACAAAAAUUGACUUUGAAUGGUCGAUGACCCUUUUCUGUGGCACUUAAUACCAUUUUUAUAACUUAUUUUGAAAGGGACCACAAUUAGCUUUGUUUUGAUACCAAAACAAACCCAAUUGGUUGAAAAAUAAGUGAAACAGGAGGUUUUUUCAAAACUGACGCAGAAAUUGCAUUAGCCUAAAUCGCGUGAAAAUCAAAAUUUUUAAAAAAAUUCUCCUGAGCCAAAUUUUGGACC